AAAUAAUCAUUCCAUUAGAGAACUUGUCGAAAGAUUCGAAAUCGUUCAAUUAAAGUCUUUGAUAUUAUUAUCUUCGUUUUUUCAACUUUUAUAUCAUCGUUAUUUAUAACGAUUUUUCAAGCAGCCUAGUUCGCUAAUGUGCCGCGCGUGUUGCGAUCGUUCGCGUUAAUUUUUCUUCGAAGGGCGAAACUUUUAUUUCUUUAUUUAUAGUUAGAUUGGAAUGAAUGAUGCGAUAACGAUAUCACUCGAUUUGCUCACUCGUUAUUUGGAUUUGUUUUUAUAAAUGAAUUUAAGGGCGUACGAGGAAUCACGGCGCGUGACAUCGGGUGAAACACGAAAUGGCCGCCGUGCCGGAAGUGCGACGCAAAACAACUCUUAUGACAGAAAUGUCUGAUCCAACGAACCGAAUUGUAUGACCCCCAGGACAAAGGAUAGAGGCGACAUUGUUAUUGGUGCAGUCGUCGGAAAGUAGAACAAAGGAGAGUGGAGGGGGUAAAGCGUCAUCGAAACGAAACGGUUCUUGUGCGCAGCUCGAAAAUUCCAAAUCAAGAAGUCGUUGAGGUUGUGAUCGUUGCGACGACGAAAAUAAUUAUAGGGAAAGUAUAAAAUGGAGAGGAUCCGUCCUGGUUGGUGGGCCGCUCGAAAAUUUGGACUUUGGUUUUGCCGUCAGCAUUUUUGGGAACAUCAAGAGUAGUGGGUAUUUUGAUGGGUACUAUGGUGCCUUGAGGAAUGAGGAUGGGUUCAAGAUCG
Molecule: long non-coding RNA, 750 nt
Organism: Venturia canescens
Lineage: Eukaryota; Metazoa; Arthropoda; Insecta; Hymenoptera; Ichneumonidae
Exons: 3
Source: RefSeq, a predicted model, not a curated record